CACAUCAGUGCGAGUUGCUGAUGUGGCAGUAAAUCGCACCCCCAAGGACGCGAUUUGCUGCCACGUCAGCAACUCGCGCUGAUGUGG
Gossypium raimondii (Peruvian cotton) is the source of this 87-nucleotide non-coding RNA. The record is from Rfam. Lineage: Eukaryota; Viridiplantae; Streptophyta; Magnoliopsida; Malvales; Malvaceae.